UACGUAGGUGACAAGCGUUGUCCGGAUUUACUGGGCGUAAAGAGCGCGCAGGCGGUCGAUCAAGUCGAGUGUGAAAUCUCCCGGCUUAACUGGGAGGGUGCGCCGAAAACUGGAAGGCUUGAGUAUGGGAGAGGUAAGCGGAAUUCCUGGUGUAGCGGUGAAAUGCGUAGAUAUCAGGAGGAACACCUGCGGUGUAGACGGCUUACUGGACCAUAACUGACGCUGAGGCACGAAAGCGUGGGUAGCAAACAGG
RNAcentral lists this ribosomal RNA (253 nucleotides) under uncultured bacterium. RNAcentral describes it as "partial 16S ribosomal RNA". It matches the Rfam family "Bacterial small subunit ribosomal RNA", at positions 524 to 776 of the family's 1533-position model. The record is from RNAcentral.